UAUGAAAGCACUGAUCGUAAAACGCACCCGAGGGUCCUGAACUAUUGGACGCGGAAGAUUGAUCUUCCUCGGUACGCGCGGUGGCCACCCCAGCGUACAAACAUAUCAUUACGAUGAGCCACUGCAUCUGCACAGAGAAUAGGGAACCUAUCGAUUGAAAAAAUAAUUCUGCAACAAUCAAGGUGAUUUGUAUGCCCCUGCAGUUGCCACUAAGUACGUACGUACACGACCUAUGAUGUCUGGGUAGGAAGAAGAGAAUACAACUCACGCGUUCGCAUUCGAGGUGGGCGUGAUAAGAAGAAUACCGAAUCGUGACGAAUGAACCACCCGUAUAUUUGGCGAGAAUUUGAAGUUCGACGAUCGCAGAGGAUAGAUCGUGGUAAACGUAUACCAGAUGAAAAUAACUUUGAUAUCAAGUCUUGCGGUAUCCAGAUAACGAUUCUCAAUAGUCAAUUGCUCUCGCGCAUGGCGCAAAUCCAACGUGAGAUAACAGAGUAUGUAUUUACGCGGAACGAUAUAAGUAUAAAUUAAAUAAAUCAAGCUGCCAUCGCGAUGAUAAUUAGAACUAUGUGGUGAUACAGAUUUAUACCUAGAAAAGGAAGACGUACGCAUACGUGUAUGCGUGGACUAUGAACAUCUCGCGAAAUUGGGUUGUACAAAUUUUAUACGAGUGUUUCAUCAUUGUCAUUUGGAGGUAAAAUUCGGUAACUCCCUGUGUAAAUAUUGUGUGUGGUGUAGAGGAGCGCGCGGUGAGGAUAAAACGUUCUUCACUGCAGACAUUGCGCCGUUCAAUGCGCGAUACGUAGAAUUUCUCGGUAGAAUUUUAUCUCGUCUACCCCGAUACCGAAAUAUACAAUUUAUGUGAAAUUUUUACGAUUAAUGUUCAUCCACGUUUAUCAGGAGUAUGAAUUAUUAUUCUGACAAACAUAAGAAAUGAUACACAGCGCGAUAUCCGUACGCAUCUAUACCCACGUGAGAAAUCGCAUCAGGGGAAAAUCUACUUUUAUUUACCCCCAUUAUAGAUUUAUAAUUUAGUGAAAAAAAUACAACAGAAGAUAGGCGAUGCAUACAAAUGGGAAUUUUCACGUUACAUCUAAUCUUCAGUUAACGAUGAGCUAACAAUUAAUUUUCAACCAGAGGAGCGACAGAACUGUCGCACCUAACGAUCGCGAAUUGAGAUCUUUAAUUAUUUAUGGAGUCUCUGAUCUUUCCGGAACGAGUAACGUCAGAUUAGGUCAGAUAUAACUUAUAAAUGUCAAGGAUAGCAUAGAGAUGAUAAUUAUUUAGCGAACGAUUGAUUGCCGGAUUAUACAGUCAGCGCAAGUCGAUCGUAGAGUCAAUGAACUGUCGGAACUUUGUUGCCACUUUGGUCGCCGUCUGCUGUGGCUACGUAUCGAUCAAAUCAGAAUUCUGAAUUCGUUGGUACGUACGGUAUGCCCAUCCACCUGAUGGUGCUACAAACAUUGAUUGAAAAAAGUAAAUGCAAUGAUCGGUGUGUUAACUAAGACGUAGUAAAAUUGGCGUUUUACCUUUCACGUGUAUUUUCCAAUCAGCAAAACAGCUGUUCUCUCACGUUUUUCCAACUGUCCAUUCCAAGGUCAGGCACGAAUCCAAAGUAUACCAUGGACAUUCGAAAGUUGACGAUAGCGAUCGCUAGUUUUAAUAUCACUUACAGUUCAGUGAUUACUGCAAACUAUUAAUAGCCCUUGUUGUCGCUGGUUUUUUUGGUUCGUUUCCGAUUCUAAAAUUGCUACGACAAAUUGUACGUACUUAAAUUGCGUGAAUGUACGUAUAGGUAUGCAACUAUGGGCAUACAGUGACAGCUCUGCGAGCUGGAUGGCUCGUGAUGUCAGAAAUCGAAACGAUGAUAAACAGCGUGCGGGUACUCGAUUAAAUUAAUUAAUUAAUUCGCUUGACCGCAAUGUCGACACCCUGGUUUUCAGGGGCUGCCCUCAUGAAUUAGUUCAAAUAGUCUGUCGGCUUGAACAGUUUGCUUGAAAUUAAAUUACAAUGGAUUCGUCGUAACUUUUCUCCCUCCUACAUCGAUCGUGCGACGUUAAACGAUGAUCAUUUCAUGUUCCGCAAUCGCGGAUCACCAGCUGCAGCCUUGUUAUAUUCUUACUAUCGUCCAAUGAGUAGACCCGACACCGCGUCGCACUGAAAUCUUGAACCGCCUGCGGCAACGAAUUCUGAAUUCGUUGUCCUGCAGAGUUAGGAAUAGAGAAAAUUUGGUAGAUAGUAAUGAAAACAGAUACGUGCGGAAUAUGCGACCGUGAAGAACA
This is a long non-coding RNA of Athalia rosae (coleseed sawfly), 2282 nucleotides long. RefSeq lists it as uncharacterized. The transcript is spliced from 2 exons. Lineage: Eukaryota; Metazoa; Arthropoda; Insecta; Hymenoptera; Athaliidae. The record is from RefSeq and is a predicted model, not a curated record.